RNAcentral lists this long non-coding RNA (199 nucleotides) under Physcomitrium patens. RNAcentral's name for it is "long non-coding RNA (PPAT_LNC009355)". The record is from RNAcentral. Lineage: Eukaryota; Viridiplantae; Streptophyta; Bryopsida; Funariales; Funariaceae.
GUACCUGCUAUCACUCUUUUGGAUAUAAGGCACGCGUACAGAAAGCAACAGAGGAUUGGCAACUAGGAUUGAAGAGAACACUUCUUUGGCUACAUUUUUCGCAUACUUUUUGAUAGAUUCUAAGUUAGGAUAAUGGAGAUAUUGGAGGUUGAAAUCAGCACUUGCAAAUCUUAAGGUAGUAAGUGAUCCGAUUCACUAG